GACGAACGCUGGCGGCGUGCCUAACACAUGCAAGUCGAGCGAAUGAAGUUCCUUCGGGAACGGAUUUAGCGGCGGACGGGUGAGUAACACGUGGGCAACCUGCCUCAUAGAGGGGAAUAGCCUUCCGAAAGGGAGAUUAAUACCGCAUAAGAUUGUAGUACCGCAUGGUACAGCAAUUAAAGGAGCAAUCCGCUAUGAGAUGGGCCCGCGGCGCAUUAGCUAGUUGGUGAGGUAACGGCUCACCAAGGCGACGAUGCGUAGCCGACCUGAGAGGGUGAUCGGCCACAUUGGGACUGAGACACGGCCCAGACUCCUACGGGAGGCAGCAGUGGGGAAUAUUGCACAAUGGGGGAAACCCUGAUGCAGCAACGCCGCGUGAGUGAUGACGGCCUUCGGGUUGUAAAGCUCUGUCCUAGGGGAAGAUAAUGACAGUACCCUUGGAGGAAGCCCCGGCUAAAUACGUGCCAGCCGCCGCCGUAA
RNAcentral lists this ribosomal RNA (480 nucleotides) under uncultured bacterium. Its description in RNAcentral is "partial 16S ribosomal RNA". It matches the Rfam family "Bacterial small subunit ribosomal RNA", at positions 28 to 523 of the family's 1533-position model. The record is from RNAcentral.